This 411-nucleotide ribosomal RNA is filed under the name uncultured microorganism. RNAcentral describes it as "bacterial SSU rRNA". It matches the Rfam family "Archaeal small subunit ribosomal RNA", at positions 330 to 745 of the family's 1478-position model. The record is from RNAcentral.
GCGCAGCAGGCGCGAAACUUCACACUGUGCGAAGCACGAUGAGGGAAUCCCAAGUGCUUGCACGUAAGUGUAAGCUGUUCCUCUGUCUAAACGCAGAGAGAGUAAGGGCUGGGUAAGACGGGUGCCAGCCGCCGCGGUAAUACCUGCAGCUCAAGUGGUGACCGUUAUUAUUGGGCCUAAAACGUCCGUAGCCGGUUUAAUAAAUGCCUGGGUAAAUUGUGUAGCUUAACUAUACGAAUUCCGGGUAGACUGUUAAACUUGAGACCGGGAGAAGUUAGAGGUACUCCUGGGGUAGAGGUGAAAUUCUGUAAUCCUAGGGGGACCACCAGUGGCGAAGGCGUCUAACUAGAACGGGUCUGACGGUGAGGGACGAAGCCCUGGGGCGCAAACGGGAUUAGAUACCCGUGUAGU